This 522-nucleotide long non-coding RNA is filed under the name Homo sapiens (human). Its description in RNAcentral is "HSALNT0000764". The record is from RNAcentral. Lineage: Eukaryota; Metazoa; Chordata; Mammalia; Primates; Hominidae.
AAAAAAAUCAUAAUAAUUAGCGGCACAUGGGGGUGCACACCUGUAGUCCCAGUUACUUGGGAGGCUGAGGUAGGAGGAUCGCUUGAGCCCAGGAGUUCAGGGUUGCAGUGAGCCAUGAUUGCCACUGCACUCCAACGUGGGCAACAGAGUGAGACCCUGUCUCUGUUUUUAUAAAAGAUAUUCAGAUAGUCAGCAUUGUUAGCCAUUAGGGAAAUGCAUAUUAAGGGCACAACGAGACAUCACCACACUGCAAUCAGAAUGGCUAAAAUUAAAAACAGCAACAGCGCCGAAAGCUGGCGAGGCUGCACAGAAACUGCGCAGUGGAAAGGUAAGACGGCCACUCUAGCACACAACUUGGCAGUUUCUUUUCUUUAUUUUAAGUAGCUUUAUUGAAAUAUAAUUCACACUCCUUAUAAUUCACCCAUUUAAAGUGUACAAUUCAGAGGCCGGGCGCGGUGGCUCACGCCUGUAAUCCCAGCACUUUCGGAGGCCGAGGCAGGCAGAUCACAAGGUCAGGAGAUC